This 81-nucleotide small nucleolar RNA is filed under the name Zostera marina. Its description in RNAcentral is "Small nucleolar RNA J33". It matches the Rfam family "Small nucleolar RNA J33". Rfam says of the family: J33 is a member of the C/D class of snoRNA which contain the C (UGAUGA) and D (CUGA) box motifs. Most of the members of the box C/D family function in directing site-specific 2'-O-methylation of substrate RNAs. The record is from Rfam by way of RNAcentral. Lineage: Eukaryota; Viridiplantae; Streptophyta; Magnoliopsida; Alismatales; Zosteraceae.
CUGUGAGGGGAAUGAUGUACUACUAUAGGGCACUCAAGAUGUUAGCAUUUCUUGAUUCUGCUUCUGAGAUUGAUAUACAAG